CGGUCUUCGGACUGGCGGCGAGUGGCGAACGGUGAGUAAUACAUCGGAACAUGCCCAGUCGUGGGGGAUAACACUUCGAAAGAAGUGCUAAUACCGCAUACGUCCUGAGGAGAAGCGGGGGAUCGCAAGACCUCGCGCGAUUGGAGUGGCCGAUGUCAGAUUAGCUAGUUGGUGGGGUAAAGGCCUACCAAGGCAACGAUCUGUAGCUGGUCUGAGAGGAUGAUCAGCCACACUGGGACUGAGACACGGCCCAGACUCC
Molecule: ribosomal RNA, 259 nt
Filed under: uncultured bacterium
Lineage: Bacteria
Description: partial 16S ribosomal RNA
Rfam family: Bacterial small subunit ribosomal RNA
Source: RNAcentral